Molecule: long non-coding RNA, 204 nt
Filed under: Homo sapiens (human)
Lineage: Eukaryota; Metazoa; Chordata; Mammalia; Primates; Hominidae
Description: non-protein coding lnc-ZNF727-17:6
Source: RNAcentral
CUCAACUUGUCUUUCAGUAGUAACAGGAUCUUCUACACUGUAGCUGCUUCCAGUGUGAGCCAGACAAAUGUACUGAAUAUAGGCCUCAGAGGUGAUCCCACCACCUUCACAGCAAUGGUCCUUCCCCAGGAGCUUCCCCUGAGAAACGGGCCAUCCAGACCAUACUGCUGCUGAAUAAUGUCUCAUUGGAAAUCUCAACAUUCU